GCUCCUAUAGUGUAGUCCGGCCAAGCAUUUUGGCUUCUCAAGCCAGAGACUCGGGUUCAAAUCCCGAUGGGAGCACCU
RNAcentral lists this transfer RNA (78 nucleotides) under Nitrosopumilaceae archaeon. RNAcentral's name for it is "tRNA-Glu". It matches the Rfam family "tRNA". From Rfam's summary of the family: Transfer RNA (tRNA) molecules are approximately 80 nucleotides in length. The record is from RNAcentral. Lineage: Archaea; Thermoproteati; Nitrososphaerota; Nitrososphaeria; Nitrosopumilales; Nitrosopumilaceae.